GUUUGGCUAGCUCAGUCGGUAGUGCAUGAGACUCCAAAUCUCAGGGCCGUGGGUUCGAGCUCCACGUUAGGCG
Molecule: non-coding RNA, 73 nt
Organism: Dromiciops gliroides (monito del monte)
Lineage: Eukaryota; Metazoa; Chordata; Mammalia; Microbiotheria; Microbiotheriidae
Source: the annotation of a RefSeq genome assembly